AGAAACAGAUACUCAGCAGUUCCAAAUUAAAACCCUAGAAUCUCAUUUCUCUUAUUCUUCUUCUUCUUUCUUGUUCUUUCUUCUUCUUCUUCUCUGUUCUUUGUUUAUUUUAUUCUCAGAAGCAUGAACUGAGAAAUCGUUCAUAUCAAUUAAGAAGAAAUCUGGAGAAGUAAAUGGAUCAGGAAGGCGUUUCUGAGGUUGUGAAUUUGAUUUUAGUUAGGGAUCUUAUUGAUUGAAGAACAACGAAUCAGUAAGAAAUAAAAUUAGGGUUUCUGGAGUUAGUAUUGAAUUGGUGGGUUGAAUAACAGAAGUAGAAGAUAGUGGAGUUGUAUUAACUCGGAUUGUAAAGGAUAGGGUGAAUCUGUGAGAAGAAGUUAAGGUUUGGAAAUAGAUUUAAGGUUCAAUUUAGUGGCAGGUAAGAAGAAAUCAAAGACUGGGUUUGGUAGUUUGAGAAGUGAAUCGAUGUUUUGAACUUUGAUUAGAGAGAAGAAGGAAUUGGGAAUUAUUUUCAGGUUAUGAGUACAGAUGUUGGUGAUUGAAGAUGAAUUUGAUGGUUGGGGUUUAAAGUGAUGAUUCAGAAGUUCAAUUGAGGCAAAACAAGGAAUCAAGAUCAACUAAUUCAUUCUAGGAAUAUGGUUUCAGGUGUUGUAUAUUGAGUAUGAGUUACCAUCUUCAGCUUCUAAUACUGAUUGUCAUGCAAAGACCUUUUCAUCAGCUGAUGCAUCAUUGUCAAAUCACCGUAGGAAGCAACAAAAAAGCCUUUAGAGAUAUAGUAAGAAGUAGUGAGCCAGUGCCUCAACACGACAAUAAGUCUCUCCCACUUCAUCUCUUUGAGCUGUAGAGAUAAAGGUAUUAAAUCAAUUGUAUGUCACUACUUGCCAAAAUUCCAAGCAGAAAAAGAAGAUAGCGACAGUGGGAACUACAGAACAAACACAAGAAGUGAGAUAUAAUUUUCUAACCUCUUGUUCCUUCAUUUGAAGAACCUUACUUAUGGAUACCUACAGAUUGGCUUCGUUAAUGGGCUGAUAAUUUUUUCCCUCUUUUAGCGUCCUUGACAAGGAACUGAGAAAUGGAGGGUUUCCUUGCUAUCCCUUGUAGCGUCCUUGACAACACAUCAAUUCAGUGCACACACGGUGGACUUCCAGUUUUAAAAUCUGCUCUAUGAAGCAACAACAACAACCAAGCCGUUAGACUUAAACAAGUUGGGGUAGGCUAGAAAUGAAACCCAUGUCGAAGUUACCAAAAGAAAAGUUGUCUCUAUGAAGCGUUGGUUAGAAAAAGCGUGGACAAGGUUCCCAAGACCUGUACAUGCUUGGUCGGCCAUGAUAGGCACUCCUUACCUGGGCACCUCUGAGGGUUUUGGUGCAUCAAAGGUCUGGUUCGUGCAGACAUUUGGAUUAGAAGUUUCCCUGAACUCUGUUAAGUGUUCAGCACAUCAUUUUCUUUUUCCCAUAUCUCAUUUGUCUGUUUUCUUACAUGUUACUCUAAUAAUUAUGUUCACGUGAACUUUUGACUCCAGUAUGGUGUUAUGACAACAAUAUCGAAUGGCGACCUCUGCAUCGACUUUCUGACUAAAGGAUUGGGUGAAGACGAUUUGGGCAAAGAUUCUCAAUAAAGGAAAUUGCAUAUGCCUCGGUUGCUAGGACGUUUUUGAAUAGUACGUUGUGUUAUGUGCCUGAACAAGGAGCAACAGCAAAUUCUUGCACUGCAGCAAUAACAACAGAAUCUAAUACCACAGCAACAGAAGCUCCAGUUACAAUUGCAACCUCAGCGAUUUCCACUACAGACAUAUUCAUGGAGCCAAAUCAGUUACCACAAGCAGUAUGGGUUUGGAAUUAUGAACUUAAAGCCAGGGAUUAUGGAGAACUUGAUGAAGAAUGCUUGGAAAUUAGUGUUUGGGAAGUAUCUGCAAGUUUUGAGUAAGUUUCUUUGUAGUAUUUGAGCUGAACUUAUAAUGUUUUUAGUCAAAAUGAACUGAACUUGGUCUACGUAUUCCAUUUGGUACUUGAAAAAUUUGUUUUCUUUUUUGAUGUGAAUUGAUUGAAUGUUAAUAUG
This is a long non-coding RNA of Papaver somniferum (opium poppy), 2055 nucleotides long. RefSeq lists it as uncharacterized. The transcript is spliced from 5 exons. The record is from RefSeq and is a predicted model, not a curated record. Lineage: Eukaryota; Viridiplantae; Streptophyta; Magnoliopsida; Ranunculales; Papaveraceae.